Molecule: non-coding RNA, 22 nt
Filed under: Rattus norvegicus (Norway rat)
Lineage: Eukaryota; Metazoa; Chordata; Mammalia; Rodentia; Muridae
Source: RNAcentral
AACCCUUAAGGAAAGCCGUCUG